CUUCUUCUUAGUGUGUGCAUUAUAUUUAUUUGGUUUCGUACUGGGCACAAAAAGAAAAUGUGAACUUUUUGUGGAAUAUAUGGGUGUAUGCAGUAGAAUAGAUAAGGGAUACACCUACGAUCUUGGUAAAAAUAGAUGCCAUCAGACCAGCGGAAAGUGUAGAGGAAUUAAGAACUUUUUCAAGACUCUCAAAGAAUGCGAGGAACUAUGCAAAGAAAACUCUAGUGAAUGGUUUUAAAGAAUCACAUCAUAUGGAAAUCAUAUCACGAGGAAGAUGAAGAGUAUGUAAGCAUUGAGAAAAAUCAAAUUGAAACCGUUUACCAGCAAUGAAUCAUGAAAUAAGUUUGAUCUAAAAAGUCAUUAAUAUAAAAGACUUCAUGAGGCUAGACGACUAUGCUUAGUUUAUUAAAUAUUAAAAAAGCCAUAUUUAAAGCCCCUAUUAUCUUAAGCAUAAUAAAGCAUUUUCGCUUGAAAACUUAA
Molecule: long non-coding RNA, 480 nt
Organism: Drosophila rhopaloa
Lineage: Eukaryota; Metazoa; Arthropoda; Insecta; Diptera; Drosophilidae
Exons: 2
Source: RefSeq, a predicted model, not a curated record